This 499-nucleotide ribosomal RNA is filed under the name uncultured bacterium. Its description in RNAcentral is "partial 16S ribosomal RNA". It matches the Rfam family "Bacterial small subunit ribosomal RNA", at positions 28 to 507 of the family's 1533-position model. The record is from RNAcentral.
GACGAACGCUGGCGGCGUGCUUAACACAUGCAAGUCGAACGGGCCCGCUCUCUUUUUUGGGGGUGGGUUGAGUGGCGAACGGGUGAGUAUCACGUGGGUAACCUGCCCCCUGCUCCUGGAUAACUGCUUGAAAGGGCGGCUAAUACGGGGUGUGCCGGCUGGUCCGCAUGGGCCUGGUCGGGAUAGUUUCAUCUUCGGGUGUUUCGGUGGGGGAUGGGCUCGCGGCCUAUCAGCUUGUUGGUGGGGUGAUGGCCCACCAAGGCGGUGACGGGUAGCCGGCCUGAGAGGGUGGGCGGCCACACUGGGACUGAGACACGGCCCAGACUCCUGCGGGAGGCAGCAGUGGGGGGUAUUGCACAAUGGACGGAAGCCUGAUGCAGCGACGUCGCGUGAGGGAUGGAGGCCUUCGGGUUGUGAACCUCUUUCUCCGGUGGUGAAGGCCCUGUCCGUUGCGGCGGGGUUGACGGUAGCCGGGUAUGAAGCGCCGGCUAACUACGUG